CGACUCUUUCACCUUUUCUUCCAAGAAGUAAGCCUUGGUCUAACGAUCUUGAAUUUAAGUUAUCUGUGAAAGGAGGCAAGCAACACUUGCUAGGUAGUGGCUCGAGUGAUUGGGAGAAGUGCCUGGAUCAGCUAAACUGCAAUUGUCAAUUCGUGAAUGUCCCCAGUUGUCGAAAAGAUGUGAAAAGGGAACCGGAAUCCAGUGGCCUCACAUUGCUCACAUCACAUCUAUUGUAAUUGAUGGGCGAUGACUUCAAUGUUGAUCAUACUGUAUAGUUUGAGAGAGUACAUACGGAUUUCAACUUGCCAAUGCCAUUGUGAAGAAGUGUACUAGAAUCUGUGGAUUGGAAGCUUUACUCUCAACAGCAUCAUCGUAUUAUAAUUUGAAGGACUGAGUAUCUAUGUUACAGUUUAAUGACAAUUCUAUAUAACAACGACUGCACAGCAUGCGACUCUCUCACCAUUUCUUCCCAAGAUGUGAGCUUGGUCUAACGGUCUUGAAUUCAAGGUAAAUUGGUUUUUCAUUUAUUGCCCUAUUAUAUAUGAGGAAUUUGCUGUGUAUAGAAUCUGCAAUAAUUUUCCAUUGCUCUAAUGUUUAAGAUUUCCAUUUUCCAUCGAAAAUAAUGUUUAAGAUUUUCAUUUAUUAUGAA
Theobroma cacao (cacao) is the source of this 649-nucleotide non-coding RNA. The record is from RefSeq and is a predicted model, not a curated record. NCBI's taxonomy places the organism in Eukaryota, Viridiplantae, Streptophyta, Magnoliopsida, Malvales, Malvaceae.